GCGAUGACUAAGAUGUCAGUGCUGGCCAAAGGGGGCGCCGAGAAGCUGAAGGAAAGAAGACGCAGAAUGUUAGAUUAAAGGAGGCAGGAUGGGCUAAAUACUCCUAUACAGUCCACGCAAAGAGGGGUUGGACGAGCUCGGAGAGAAAGAAAAUGAUAUAUGUCAGAAACUCAGAUAUCCGUAAAGAAAGAAAGCAUUGGGAAAAGAAUAAAUGAAGGCCUGUGGGAGCUGAGGCUGGAAGGACCUUGUAUGUCAUGCUGAGAAGUCUGGACUACAUGUCUUCAACUGAAGGUUUUCGAGGAGAGGGAUGUGAUUGGAUAUGUGUUGUAGAAAGAUAACUUUGCUUUUUAAGAAAA
Molecule: long non-coding RNA, 356 nt
Filed under: Homo sapiens (human)
Lineage: Eukaryota; Metazoa; Chordata; Mammalia; Primates; Hominidae
Description: non-protein coding lnc-TMEM156-2:2
Source: RNAcentral